Molecule: ribosomal RNA, 165 nt
Filed under: Coelogyne sulphurea
Lineage: Eukaryota; Viridiplantae; Streptophyta; Magnoliopsida; Asparagales; Orchidaceae
Description: Chelonistele sulphurea 5.8S ribosomal RNA
Rfam family: 5.8S ribosomal RNA
About the family: 5.8S ribosomal RNA (5.8S rRNA) is a component of the large subunit of the eukaryotic ribosome.
Source: RNAcentral
AAAACGACUCUCGGCAAUGGAUAUCUCGGCUCUCGCAUCGAUGAAGAGCGCAGCGAAAUGCGAUACGUGGUGCGAAUUGCAGAAUCCCGCGAACCAUCGAGUCUUUGAACGCAAGUUGCGCCCGAGGCCAACCGGCUGAGGGCACGUCUGCCUGGGCGUCAAGCG